This 72-nucleotide transfer RNA is filed under the name Candidatus Pacearchaeota archaeon CG1_02_39_14. RNAcentral's name for it is "tRNA-Met". It matches the Rfam family "tRNA". From Rfam's summary of the family: Transfer RNA (tRNA) molecules are approximately 80 nucleotides in length. The record is from RNAcentral. Lineage: Archaea; Nanobdellati. RNAcentral also lists the same sequence under 2 other names.
GGCUCUGUAGCUUAGAGGUAAAGCGCCUGUCUCAUGCGCAGGAGAUCGAGGGUUCGAUUCCCUCCAGAGCCA